AUGAAGCCGGAGCUUGCUCUGGUGGAUUAGUGGCGAACGGGUGAGUAACACGUGAGUAACCUGCCCCUGACUCUGGGAUAAGCGUUGGAAACGACGUCUAAUACCGGAUACGAGCUGCGAUCGCAUGAUCAGCAGCUGGAAAGAAUUUCGGUCUGGGAUGGACUCGCGGCCUAUCAGCUAGUUGGUGAGGUAACGGCCCACCAAGGCGACGACGGGUAGCCGGCCUGAGAGGGUGACCGGCCACACUGGGACUGAGACACGGCCCAGACUCCUACGGGAGGCAGCAGUGGGGAAUAUUGCACAAUGGGCGCAAGCCUGAUGCAGCAACGCCGCGUGAGGGACGACGGCCUUCGGGUUGUAAACCUCUUUUAGCAGGGAAGAAGCGAAAGUGACGGUACCUGCAGAAAAAGCACCGGCUAACUACGUGCCAGCAGCCGCGGUAAUACGUAGGGUGCAAGCGUUGUCCGGAAUUAUUGGGCGUAAAGAGCUCGUAGGCGGUUUGUCGCGUCUGCUGUGAAAACGCGAGGCUCAACCUCGCGCCUGCAGUGGGUACGGGCAAACUAGAGUGCGGUAGGGGAGAUUGGAAUUCCUGGUGUAGCGGUGGAAUGCGCAGAUAUCAGGAGGAACACCAAUGGCGAAGGCAGAUCUCUGGGCCGUAACUGACGCUGAGGAGCGAAAGCAUGGGGAGCGAACAGGAUUAGAUACCCUGGUAGUCCAUGCCGUAAACGUUGGGAACUAGAUGUAGGGACCAUUCCACGGUUUCUGUGUCGCAGCUAACGCAUUAAGUUCCCCGCCUGGGGAGUACGGUCGCAAGACUAAAACUCAAAGGAAUUGACGGGGGCCCGCACAAGCGGCGGAGCAUGCGGAUUAAUUCGAUGCAACGCG
Molecule: ribosomal RNA, 885 nt
Filed under: Microcella sp. EC-HK412
Lineage: Bacteria; Bacillati; Actinomycetota; Actinomycetes; Micrococcales; Microbacteriaceae
Description: bacterial SSU rRNA
Rfam family: Bacterial small subunit ribosomal RNA
Source: RNAcentral